This is a long non-coding RNA of Myotis daubentonii (Daubenton's bat), 747 nucleotides long. RefSeq lists it as uncharacterized. The record is from RefSeq and is a predicted model, not a curated record. Lineage: Eukaryota; Metazoa; Chordata; Mammalia; Chiroptera; Vespertilionidae.
UCCCAGUUAAAAGGCUCCAGGUCCCUGGACCAGGCAGAGUGAGCUCCUGGGGCCUCUUCCUCUGGGUCAGAAUCAGCCUCAGCAUGGGACGCCCACUGCCUGCUGCCAGGUGCACCUGGAUCUUCCUGCUCUUGCUGCUGGAAGCCUGUGCAGGGCACUGGAGGGCACAGCAGAGCAAGGUACUGGGGGCCAGGGGCUCAGGGCCCAUUCGCAGCCUGGGAAGGCGGCUUUGUUCCAGGGCAUUCAGCUGUCAUGUCAGGGUGUCUUCAUAGAUGUCACAACUGGGUCCUCACAGAAGCCCACUGUCAAAAAUAAAAAAAAAAAUUGUGGGUGGCCCUGGCUGGUGUGGCUCGGGUGGUUGAGCGGGGUGCCAUGCACCAACAGGUCACCAGUUCAAUUCCCAUCAGGACGCAGGUCCAGGUUUUGGGCUGCAUCCCCAGUAGGGGGCAUGCAGGAGGCAGCUGGUUGAUGUUUCUCUCUCUCUCUCCCUCUCCCUUCCUUUCUCUCCAAAAUCAACAAAAACAUGUAUUUAAAAACCUAGCUGGUUUGGCUCAGUGGAUAGAGCGUCGGCCUGUGGACUGAAGGGUCCCAGGUUCGAUUCUGGUCAAGGGCACAUGCCCGGGUUGCAGGCUCGAUCCCCAGUGGGGGGCGUGCAGGAGGCAGCCGAUCAAUGAUUCUCUCUUAUCAUUGAUGUUUCUAUCUCUCUCUCCCUUCCUCUCUGAAAUCAAUAAAAAUAUGUUUUAAAAA